UCCUCGUUCGCUUCCCGCCGCUGCCCGGCCAUUGGCUUCGUGCGGCGCCGCGCCGGCCCGCCCUGGUUCCCGAAAAUCUCCUUUGGGUAUCUGAAGUCCAUAUGGCUAUGUAUGAUGAAGACCUUUUGAAAAAUCCCUUUUAUUUGGCCAUUCAGAAGCGACGUCCUGAUCUCUGCAGCAAAGUUGCAGAACUCCAUGGUAUUGUAUUAGUUCCAUGCAAAGGAAGCCUUUCAAGCAACUGUCUUUCCAACUGCCAGUUUGAAUCUUAUGUACUGAAGCCACUAGAAGAAAAUUUUCAGACCUUAAAUGGAAAGGAGAUCUUCAUACAAGGAAAUCUUGUCAUCUUAGGAACUGGUUUUGACGAUCAUCUCUCGGUCCCUGUUCUUUUUGAGGAAACAUUUUACAAUGAAAAAGAAGAGAGCUUUAGUAUUUUGUGCAUAGCUCAUCCACUGGAAAAAACAGAAAGCUCAAGUGAAUCUACAGCUUCAUCAAAUCUUUAUUCUCUGAAAAAUAUUGAAGAUGUUAGAGAAUUCUUGGGAAGGCACUGUGAGAGAUUUGAUAAAUACAUAGGAUCUUUCUACCGAACAUUUAAAGAGCACGAACGGAAAAGCCUCCGCCAUUACAUAGAUUCUGUCAGUGCACUUUAUACCAAAUGUCUCCAGCAUCUUCUGAGAGAUUCACACUUGAAGAUGCUUGCGAAGCAGGAGGAGCAGAUGAAUCUGAUUAAACAAGCAGUUGAAAUGUAUGUCCACCAUGCUAUUUAUGAUCUAGUCUUUAAAUAUGUGGGGACUAUUGAGGCAAGUGAGGAUGCUGCUUUUAACAAAAUCACGAGAAGCCUUCAAGAGCUCCAGCAAAAAGACAUUGGAGUAAAACCCGAGUUUAGUUUUAAUAUACCACGUGCGAAGCGAGAACUGAGUCAGCUGAACAAAUGUACUUCCCCUCAACAGAAGUUACUCUGUCUACGAAAAGUGGUACAAAUUAUUAUGCAGUCUCCUAGCCAAAGAGUUAACAUGGAAACCAUGUGUGCAGAUGAUCUACUCUCUGUCUUGCUGUAUUUACUUGUAAAAACAGAAAUCCCAAACUGGAUGGCCAACUUGAGUUACAUCAAGAACUUCAGGCUCUGCAGUUCGGUGAAGGAUGAAUUGGGAUACUGUCUAACCUCAAUUGAGGCUGCAAUAGAAUACAUACGACAAGGCAACCUCUCUGACAGAUCAACAGAAUCUGACAGGCUGUAUGACAAGUUGCUUUUAAAACAAAGGAUGAACUUUUUAUCCCAGAUGUCUACUACUCCAACAGAUUGCUUAUUUAAGCAUAUUGCUUCAGGUAAUCAGGAGGAAGUGGAGCGAUUACUAAGUCAAGGUGACAGUGAUAAGGACACUGUACAAAAAAUGUGUCAUCCGCUCUGUUACUGUGACAAAUGUGAGAAGCUAGUUUCUGGGAAACUGAAUGAUCCUUCAAUUGUCACUGCAUUUUCCCGAGAUGACCGGGGAUAUACGCCACUCCAUAUAGCUGCUAUUUGUGGGCAAACAUCAUUAGUGGAUUUACUAAUAGCCAAAGGAGCCAUUGUCAAUGCUACAGAUUACCACGGUUCAACUCCACUUCACCUUGCCUGUCAGAAGGGAUAUCAAAACGUUACACUUCUCUUAUUGCACUAUAAGGCAAGUACUGAUGUUCAGGACAAUAAUGGGAAUACUCCACUUCAUUUAGCCUGCACUUAUGGUCAUGAGGAUUGCGUUAAAGCAUUAGUCUACUAUGAUGUGCAUUCCUGUAGACUAGAUAUUGGAAAUGAAAAGGGAGAUACUCCUCUCCAUAUAGCUGCUCGUUGGGGUUAUCAAGGGAUCAUAGAAGUGCUUUUGCAAAAUGGGGCAAAUCCAAAUACUCAAAACCGGAUGAAAGAGACUUCGCUGCAGUGUGCAUUAAAUUCCAAGAUUUUGUCACUGAUGGAAUUAAACUAUCUAACCUUUGAGCGGGGACAGAGUGCUUCUGAGUCACCACUUAGGUCUCCUCAGCACUCAACAGAAACUUUCAGCAGAGGAUCAUCUGUCUCUAGUUUGUCAUCAGCAUCAAUUGAUGUAAGGCAAGAUGAAGUGAAGAACAGUUAUAAAGAGGUGGAAAAACUCCUAAGAGCAGUUGCUGAUGGAGAUCUGGAAAUGGUACGUUAUCUCUUGGAAUGGACAGAAGAAGACUUAGAAGAUGAAGAUGAUGCAGUCAGUACAUUGAAACCAGAAUUCUGCCAUCCAUUAUGCCAGUGCUCGAAAUGUGGGCCAGCACAAAAGAAAUUUGCAAGGGUCCCUGCUAAUGGCCUUGGUGUAAAUGUAUCAAAUCAAGAUGGUUUUACACCAUUGCAUAUGGCUGCACUGCAUGGACACUCUGACCUUGUCUCUCUCUUGUUGAAACAUGGAGCCAGUAUCAGUGCCAAGAAUGCAGAACAUGCAGUGCCUCUUCAUUUAGCCUGCCAGAAAGGUCACUCCCAGGUGGUAGAAUGUCUAAUGAAUUAUAAUGCUAAACAAAAUAAAAAGGAUGCAUAUGGAAAUACUCCUUUAAUUUAUGCAUGCUUGAAUGGUCACUAUGAGACUACUGCCUUGUUGUUACAGCAUGGAGCUUCUGUUAACCUUUCUAAUGCCAAAGGAAAUACAGCACUGCAUGAGGCUGUGAUAGGGAAGAAUGAAGCCCUGGUAGACUUGUUGCUUCAGAAUGGUGCGAUGACACAUAUACAGAAUGAAAGGAACUGUACCCCUGCAGACUGUGCUGAGCCGAAUUCAAAUAUCAUUAAGUUGCUGGAAACAGCAGCAAGCUGUGUACCUGCAUCAGCAGAGGAAGAAAAGGAAUGUGAGCAGCAUGCUGCUAUCAAGAUAAGAAGAAAAGUGAAUGAGCCAUGUGAGAAAGCUGAUGAUCCCAUGAACAGACAUCAACUCGUCCAAUCAAUUAACAGAUUUAACAAAGCAAAACAUUUACGGAGAACAAUAACAAGAGAUAAAAGCGUCCCCAAUUUUGACUAUCAGUUCUUGCACCAGUUAGCUAUAAAAAGCUUUGAUAAAACCAAGUUAAAAUCUGUUGAAACACUGGACCAGAACAAAGCUAAGAUUACUGACGCAGAAUGCAGUGGCGAAUUUAUGAAACAUGAUGACAUGAUAGAAACUCCUUGUAGGAGUAAAUUAAUGCACCGGAGACACACUGUUAAUGUUCCGCUUUCAGCAGAGAGUGUCAGUGGUAAUAGUUUAUCCAGCCCUGGAAGUCCAAGUAUUUCACAAUCGAGAGACUGCUGUGAUGACUUGCUUUCCAAACAUUGAUGAAGAAGCACAGAUGUGAUGUCAAAAGCUUUGGAACCAGGUGGUGUGGAUUUCAGUAUCCCUUUGCUGCAUAUCAAAGAACUCGGUGACGCUUGCAAGCUAUGCCUUCAGAAGAGAAUACAGGGAUAACUCUUCAGCAGAAACAGAAUGUUCCUAGAACUUUUGAAGACUGAAUCUGUCUUGGAGGUAACUACAGAGCCAGAGCGUUGCUGAUCUUAACAAACAGGGAAGUACUGACGUAUGUAGGCAGUAAAGUUACCUUCAUGUUCUACGUAGCACUUACUAAAAAAUCAUAUAUAACAGUAAACCAGACCAAACCCUGUAUUGUAUUUUUUCAGCCAUCCACUUUGUUUUUAAAGUCUUUGAAUAAUUUUCGCGUUUUUGGUUUUUACCACUACAAUGGAUAAAUAUAUACAAAUAUAUAUAUAUUUAUAUAUACAUAAAGAUAUAUUGGAUAACAAGCUAUUUAUUGACAGAGGUAAUUGAAAUGUCUAUUUUUAUUCGAAUAUUACAAACUGUUAUAGCAUAAAUUUUUCUGUGUAUUUCAGUAGCUGAGAAAACAGUAGUGCAUCUGUGACACCAUGUUAGACAUAUACAUGCUAAUAAUAUGAAGGGAACUAAUCUUUGCUAAUUUCUUAGUAUCUGUAUCUACAACAUCAAUUUCUUUUUAGGAGCCAAGACAGUGGGGAGAAGUAGAGAGCCUCUGCAAAGCUAAAGUGUAAACUCAGUGUUCAGCCUGAUUAAAAAAUACGCAGAAGCAAGAGUGCGUAAGGACACACAAAAUUGUUUUAAGGUUUGUUUUUUUUCUUCCUCCAAAGCUAGCCAUUCAAAAAAUGCACGAAUAUUCGUGAUUCUGAACCUGGGCGACAUCUGCAGGCAAAACCACUGCUUGAGAGCCUGAACCCAGACUGUUAUUUAAAGAAGUGAACUUCCAUGAACUUCCAUUUCUGAAAGUUGUCCUGUUGAACCCAAACCUACUUAAGUGACGAAACCAUGCUUCACUUUUACUUCAGCAUUCAGUCUAGGAUAAAGCUUACUUCCAGGCAUUUUGGAUUUUUAUGUAUCAAAGCACUUAAAUCCUGACCACUUCCAAAUAACAUCUAACAAAUGAUUUAGGUAAGUGAAAGAUUUCUCUGAUGUGCUUGACCAAGCUUAUCAUUAAAGAAAUAUACUAAUUUUCUAAGACAUGAUGAUUGAAGUCUAAACUCGGAUAAGAUUUGAAGGGAGUACUCCUAGAAAUUCUCCCCAGGUCUAUAGAAAGCCAUGCUGAAGGCAUGCUUUUUGCACAGGAAUAACACGCUUACUAGUGCUCACUUUAAACAGUUUUAUUCUGUUCCAAAAACCACUGCAGUUAGGAUCAUACAUGUUUAUGUUAAAUUAUGUCAGAAGAGGGCUUUGUGGUUGUAGACUGUUUAUCAGCACAAUGUAUUUGAAUAAAUGUACAGCACAAGUUUUACUUUAUGCAUGCAGGAGUUGCAGAAAUUUAGGAAAACUGAUUGUUUUUUUUAAGAAACUCUCCAGCUAUUUGAUAAAAAUGGAGGUAGCUUUAAGAAUGUACGAUGCCAAAUGUCUGAACAGUGCUGGAUUACAAUUACACAGUUAAUUUCAACUUUUUUUUUUGAGACAGCCUGAUUGUUUUGUAGGAGAACACUUCAAUUGUAUGAUGGUAACAGUUUCUUUAUAAUAGAGACUGCCCCCAGUCCAAACACAAAUAAUGGCUACUUUGAUGCUUUAAUUUGAAUUUACAAAUUUUGAGUAAACAGCUGAGAGUCUCUGUGAGCUGCUGAGAGGCUUUCCUUCAGGGGCUCAGGAAACCUUGCUUCUAACACUUUUGUGACUUAGACUGUGGAGGUAAGUCCUUUAAACUCCUGCAGGGAGUGGCUGUUCCCAGCUUUACACUGAAGUUCUCCUGUUACCGUAUCUCCAAUAGCAGCAGGUUAAGGGUGUACAGGUGCUGAAAGCAUAGCUUACACACUGAGUAAGGGGCAACAAUUUUCAUGCUACUCAAGCAGUGGAGAGCUCCACACUGCUCAGGCCACUUAUACUACAAAAAUUUAAGUUAUAAAAUCCCCUUCUCAGGUGUGUUUUACAAGACAAGUUCAUUUGUUGGCCUUUAUACAUAUUUAUAUAUAUUUUAAAAAGAAGUAAAGAAACGUAAACAUUUUCAGACUUUGCAUUCUGCCUGAUAACUGUUGCCUUUGUCCAACCAUUUAUUUGGCAGGCUUACAGUAGUAUUUAAUAAUCAUCCUCUUCAUCUGAAUCCAGUACUUUCCUUCUGUUGAACUAAAAUGAAAUACAAGGUCACAGUUAAUCCAACACAGAAAAAGCCUUUCCAACUCCACCCAUCUGACAAUCUAUUACUGGGAAGCAGACGUUUCACCCCAUCGCAACCUUCCAGUCCCCACCUGGCAAAAUGGGAGAGAGCAAAAGCACAGGUCUGUCUCAACACAACACUGCUAUCCCAGUGAUAACAGCUGCAAAUUAGACUAUUCCUAAGGAUGUAACCCAAUGCUUAUUUAUUAGUGUGGGUGAGAGAAGUGAUGGUAAAUACAAAGGAAAGUUCUGUGCUGAACUGAAAUAGUGCACUACAUGCAGCUUUCCUGCUUGAGCUUGUAACUAUAUUAUAUUACAUACAUAUAUAAUC
Molecule: RNA transcript, 5934 nt
Organism: Centrocercus urophasianus (Greater sage-grouse)
Lineage: Eukaryota; Metazoa; Chordata; Aves; Galliformes; Phasianidae
Gene: ANKRD27
Gene name: ankyrin repeat domain 27
Exons: 30
Source: RefSeq, a predicted model, not a curated record